GACGAACGCUGGCGGCGUGCCUAAUACAUGCAAGUCGAACGCAUUUUCUUUCACCGUAGCUUGCUACACCGAAAGAAAAUGAGUGGCGAACGGGUGAGUAACACGUGGGUAACCUGCCCAUCAGCGGGGGAUAACACUUGGAAACAGGUGCUAAUACCGCAUAAUUCCAUUUACUGCAUGGUAGAUGGAUGAAAGGCGCUUUUGCGUCACUGAUGGAUGGACCCGCGGUGCAUUAGCUAGUUGGUGGGGUAACGGCCUACCAAGGCUGCGAUGCAUAGCCGACCUGAGAGGGUGAUCGGCCACACUGGGACUGAGACACGGCCCAGACUCCUACGGGAGGCAGCAGUAGGGAAUCUUCGGCAAUGGACGCAAGUCUGACCGAGCAACGCCGCGUGAGUGAAGAAGGUUUUCGGAUCGUAAAACCCUGUUGUUAGAAAAGAACAAGGAUGAGAGUGGAAAGUUCAUCCCUUGACGGUAUCUAACCAGAAAGCCACGGCUAACUACGU
Molecule: ribosomal RNA, 506 nt
Filed under: uncultured bacterium
Lineage: Bacteria
Description: partial 16S ribosomal RNA
Rfam family: Bacterial small subunit ribosomal RNA
Source: RNAcentral